GAUGAACGCUGGCGGCGUGCCUAAUACAUGCAAGUCGAGCGAACAGACGAGGAGCUUGCUCCUCUGACGUUAGCGGCGGACGGGUGAGUAACACGUGGAUAACCUACCUAUAAGACUGGGAUAACUUCGGGAAACCGGAGCUAAUACCGGAUAAUAUAUUGAACCGCAUGGUUCAAUAGUGAAAGACGGUUUUGCUGUCACUUGUAGAUGGAUCCGCGCCGCAUUAGCUAGUUGGUAGGGUAGCGGCUUACCAAGGCAACGAUGGGUAGCCGGCCUGAGAGGGUGACCGGCGAAAUGGGGACGGAGGUACGGCCCAGACUCCGACGGGAGGCAGCAGUGGGGAAUAUUGCACAAUGGGAGGAAGGCUGAGGCAGAAACGCCGCGUGCGGGAGGACGGCCUUCGGGUUGUAAACCGCUUGCGCCUGUGACGAAGCGUGAGUGACGGUAAUGGGUAAAGAAGCACAGGCUAACUACGUG
This 477-nucleotide ribosomal RNA is filed under the name uncultured bacterium. RNAcentral describes it as "partial 16S ribosomal RNA". It matches the Rfam family "Bacterial small subunit ribosomal RNA", at positions 28 to 507 of the family's 1533-position model. The record is from RNAcentral.